CCUACGGGAGGCAGCAGUAGGGAAUUUUCGUCAAUGGGGGGAACCCUGAACGAGCAAUGCCGCGUGAGUGAGGAAGGUCUUCGGAUCGUAAAGCUCUGUUGUAAGAGAAAAACGGCACUCAUAGGGAAUGAUGAGUGAGUGAUGGUAUCUUACCAGAAAGCCACGGCUAACUACGUGC
RNAcentral lists this ribosomal RNA (178 nucleotides) under uncultured bacterium. Its description in RNAcentral is "partial 16S ribosomal RNA". It matches the Rfam family "Bacterial small subunit ribosomal RNA", at positions 338 to 508 of the family's 1533-position model. The record is from RNAcentral.